Bombus terrestris (buff-tailed bumblebee) is the source of this 658-nucleotide long non-coding RNA. RefSeq lists it as uncharacterized. Lineage: Eukaryota; Metazoa; Arthropoda; Insecta; Hymenoptera; Apidae. The record is from RefSeq and is a predicted model, not a curated record. The transcript is spliced from 2 exons.
GCGCUAUAUACAUCAUCAUCAUCAAUAAUAAUUUUAAAUUGAUACUUCUCAAAAUAAAAAGCAAUUACGAAACCGAUUCGACAGACAGGUAAAACAUUAAAACAUUGGUUUAAAUCAUUGAUGUAUGUUUUUAUAGAGGAAAUCUAAAAUUUUACAAAACUGUCACCAUCCAGUCAAACAGAUCGAAAUUCGAAAAAAAAUGUUAAUAGAGGACUAAAUAUUACUGGAUAUAGUUUUGUUGGUUGUUACAAAAACUUACUCCAUGCUGAGUGCUAAGUAACCGAUGGGUACAUGUUGCUGACGAUAAAAAUGAUGAAAUAUUAUCAAUGUUAUACGCCUGAUUUUUUUGUUCUACCAAUAUUUUUAAUUUCACUAUCCUGUGUUCGUCCAAAUCAAACGGAGCCACUGCGAGAAAAGCGUCAGACAUUUUAGUCAAACGGCAGGCCGGCAACUAUAAACGCUCACCAAUUCGACGGAAACAAGGGAUGCCAAUGUUUAAGGAAUAAACGAAGAAUAACCACUAAAUACAAUAAUGCCACGUUAACUGACCGGGGAUGUAAUUCAUUAAUUGACCAUUUCUACCCACACCAGUUCUUGGAAGUAAACUUUCAACAUUCUGGACUUUGAACACUUAUGCAUCUUUAUGUAUUAAGUAAAA